GAUGAACGCUGGCGGCGUGCCUAAUACAUGCAAGUCGAGCGAACAGAUGAGGAGCUUGCUCCUCUGACGUUAGCGGCGGACGGGUGAGUAACACGUGGAUAACCUACCUAUAAGACUGGGAUAACUUCGGGAAACCGGAGCUAAUACCGGAUAAUAUAUUGAACCGCAUGGUUCAAUAGUGAAAGACGGUUUUGCUGUCACUUAUAGAUGGAUCCGCGCCGCAUUAGCUAGUUGGUAAGGUAACGGCUUACCAAGGCAACGAUGCGUAGCCGACCUGAGAGGUGAAUCGGCCCCCCUGGACUGGAGACCCGUCCCGAACUCCUACGGGAGGCAGAGGUAGGAAUUCUGCCGCAAGGGGCGAAAGCCUGACGGAGCAACGCCGCGUGAGUGAUGAGGGUCUUCGGUUCGUAAAACUCUGUUAUUAGGGAAGAACAAAUGUGUAAGUAACUAUGCACGUCUUGACGGUACCUAAUCAGAAAGCCCCGGCUAACUACUU
Molecule: ribosomal RNA, 496 nt
Filed under: uncultured bacterium
Lineage: Bacteria
Description: partial 16S ribosomal RNA
Rfam family: Bacterial small subunit ribosomal RNA
Source: RNAcentral